UCAUAGCUUUAAUGAAUGAAGUAAUAUUGUGAUGUUAUGCCUCAUCUGAAGACCUUGAGUAUUGUUUUGUGUUCAUGCCUUAGCUAGCAAGCCUGAGAUGUCUCCUGAAAAGCCUCAAAGACCGUUGAUAUAUAGAAACCAUUCUACUAAAAUUAUUUCCAUGGUAACAAACACUAAAGUUAAGGUUUCAGCUUGACUUGUGUCAGCUUUCUCACAAAUUUUACUUUUGUUCUGAAACUUCCUAUGCUGUAGCUCAGCUCAGAGGUAAACUUUUGGGUUGAACAUUUUGAGUCCACUCCAAUUCAGCUGUGAGUUGUGCAAAAGAAAGAUACUUUUCCUGUGUUUGUAAUAUGUAUUUUUAUGCAUGGAUUAAAUGGCUGACCUUUCAAACUUCAGACCCUGCUAAAUUGUAAUCUGUUCCUUAAUAAAGUUUCCUGUUUCCUUAUGAAUCUGAGGUGGAAAAAUACUCCCCUCCUCAACAGUACUUCACCCAUUUGAAUUUAAUUGGCUUCUGUUUUGUCUUUAUCAGGCAUCAGGUAACUUUUUAGUCAUGCCCUUCUCAACAAUCAAACUCCUUAACAAUGUCAAUACUGUGGUGACUAAGAAACUUAAGAGAAUGGGGGCAUCUAGAUUUGGGGUGGGUCUCUGUGCAGAAAUUUCCUCUCAUCUUUUUCUCACGUGGAUGGGGAGCCUCUACCAAUUUGGAUUUAGUGGGCUUAAUGCCUAGUAGUAUCAAAGUUCCUGAUCAUCUGGCACCUAGGAAAUUUAGAUGAACUAGGAUAUUCUACCCUAGUGUCCUGUAUUCAGGUUGUAGUUUGAAUAGGGUGCAUCUGGGGAGGCAUUCAUAUCCCCACAUAGUGAUUUGUGAACAGAAUGCCAGGUGUCAGAUUGGCAGAGCUUGUACACAGUAGCUGACCUGCCUACUAAUUCAGUAGGCCACCAUUCCCCUCGUACAGUUGUACCUUCAAUACCUCAUAUUGCUCUAUAUGAAUAAACUUACUUUGCUAAACUCCUAGAGGUGAUUUGGCUCUUGGAUUCUGAAAUAGGAUUCUGAUUUGGCUCUUGGAUUCUCUGUAGUCUUAACUUACUGUGCAGUUAAUGUUUCAAAGUGCUCACUACCUCUGUUGUAGCUCCUCCCUGGGAAACACCAUGUGAUGCAAAAAAAUAAGAGAUUAAUUUUCUCUGAGUAGAAUCUAGAAUUAACUUUGUAUUAAUCACCAAGGACACUCGUAAUAGCAUCAGUAAGCUACCAAAUUCAUGGUCCAUUUUGGUCAAUUUCGCAAUCAUAGGAUUUUAAAAAUAAUAAAUUUCAUUAUUUUAGUUAUUUAAAUAUGAAAUUUCAUGAUGAUGUAAUUGUAGAGAUCCGGACCCAAAAAGGGGUGGGGGGCUUGCAAGAUUAUUGUAGGGGAGAUUGUGGUACUGAUGCCCUUACUUCAGCGCUGCUGCUGGAGGUGGUGCUGCCUUCAGAGCUGGGUAGCUGGAGAGCAGCAGCUUCUGGCCAGGAGUCCAGCUCUGAAGGUAGAGCCACCGCCAGCAACAGCACAGAGGUAAGGAUGGCAUCUUAUGGUAUUGUCACCCUUCUUUGCGCUGCUGCUUGUUAGGGCACUGCCGUCAGAGCUGGGCAUCUAGCCAACAGCCACUGCUCUCCAGCCACCCAGCUCUGAAGGCCAUGCAGAAUUAAAGGUGGCAGUACUAUGAGUCCCCUAAAAUAAUCUUGUGACCCACCCCACCCCUGCAGCUCCCUUUUGGGUCAGGACCCCCAAUUUGAGAAAGCUGGUCUCCCCUAUGAAAUCUGUAUACUAUAGGGUAAAAGCACACAGAAGAUCAGAUUUCACGGGGAGAGACCAGAUUUCAUGGUCCAUGACAAGCUUUUUGUGGCCAUAAAUUUGGUAGGGCCCUAAGCAUCAGUAAAGGGGCUUUGCAGAAGAGCACUGCCAUAUCUGUGGUCCUGCAAACCACUUGAGUAGUUACUCAUAGAACUAUGCAGUUGAGGAGUUGACUAUUGAAAUUCAACUGUUAAGGCUCUAUGACUGAUCAGAUUUGCACCCUGACCAUUCUGAUAACUGUAUAACAUUUGGCUUAAUAUUCUAUUUUAAUGUGGUGAGUUUUAAUAGAAACUCUUUUGUUGGGAAUUUGGGUAUGGGAUAUUCUUCUCUUUAUUCUUUUAUCUUUUAACUGGGGAUGUUCAUUUUUUAAAACAUAGUGUCCAUAUUUUCUAAUGAGCCGUCAGGAAAAGUGCUUUGGUUUUGAGCCACUGAACAAUUACAGUCUUGAUACACCACUCCUUGUCAGUUUACAACAUGCUGAUUCUGGUUGCAUCUGAAUUGAGGAAAUAGAACUAAUUAAUAUUUGUAAAGCACCAUGCAGAGCUUCAAAGUCCACUAGGCACCUGUACUUGAGUGUAAUCCUCUUUUAAGAAACUAUUUAUUUACUUGCAUAACUGACUGCAGGAUCCGGGCCUUAGUGUGUUUAUGUACUGUGAUACAUAGAAAAGCUAAGUACUAUUUUUAAUCACUGUUCUUUUGCCCUGUUAAGGUUAGGGUUUUGAAGAAAAAACCCAACAAUCCUAGUGUUUUUUAAUGUAAUAAUUUGACAAAUGUCGCAUCAGCAUUUUUCUACUAAGGUGAUAGUUCCAUUAGAAAUUCAAUAAACUCAUAAGCCAGCACAUUAGAAUAUAAGUAUCCCUUUUUCUGUAAAGCUAGAUAUACAUCUUAUCCAAGACCAAUUUGAAGCUUGGGCUUUAGUGCUCUUGCUACUGCUAACAACUUUCUUUAGCCACAUUUUUAGGGAACACUUCUGCCGUACUUGACUGUGUCAGUGGCAUAGAAGCCACAAUGAGUUGAUCUGCUCUCCCUGCACAACAGGGAAAGGGAAGCAAUUAGAUUUAAUUGUCUUCCAGCAAAAUGCCAAGAAAGCAUCACAACACAGACUGGAGACCAUGAGCUGCUUAUACACAGUAUUCACAUUUUGAGCUCAUCUCUAAUACCAGGGUAGUAUGGAGGUUCUCUGUGCUAUCAAGGGAAGUUUAAUUUAUAACCAAAACUAUCUUGUAAAGUAUUUACUUACAGUCUCUUAGCAUUGUUAAAAUGUUUUCUCCAAAUCACAUGAUUGUUCCUGUUGUGUUGUAUUUUUCUAUAAAUUGCUGGGGACUGGGAUUGAUUUUUUACUGGAAUGUAUAACUGCAUGUUACUAGCAAAGCUGUAAUCCUAGUUUCUCUGAUGCACAAGUAUGAACUGUUUGAAAGUAAGAAUGCAUUUGACAAUGAAUGGACUGUCAUUGCCAUUUUGAUUCAGAUUCCUUUUAAGGCACUUCAGUUAGCAUUUAUCUACAAAUAAUUACACAAAUCUGUUUAUUUUUAUAUUUUUAUCUCCAUGCUUUUUGAUUUAACAGUAAUGUAACCACAAUAUUUUUUAAAACAAGUUGUAUAGUUUUUUAUAUUUUUGUUUUUAAAUAAAAAUAAAUAAAGUGUUUGGUUUGCUACAGAAAA
Long non-coding RNA from Gopherus flavomarginatus (Mexican gopher tortoise), 3487 nucleotides. RefSeq lists it as uncharacterized. The record is from RefSeq and is a predicted model, not a curated record. Lineage: Eukaryota; Metazoa; Chordata; Testudines; Testudinidae. The transcript is spliced from 2 exons.